RNAcentral lists this long non-coding RNA (3005 nucleotides) under Oncorhynchus mykiss (rainbow trout). Its description in RNAcentral is "lncRNA (ENSOMYG00000063468.1)". Lineage: Eukaryota; Metazoa; Chordata; Actinopteri; Salmoniformes; Salmonidae. The record is from RNAcentral.
AUGUCUUUGCACACAUUUCUAACGCAAUUUUUGUUCUCUCUUCAGAUUGAAACGCUACAAGAGAAAAUCCAGACCAUAUCUCGGAGAGCCUCUGCUGCUGAGCAUGCUCUGGCCAUGGAGAAGAAUGAGGCAGCGCUACUCCGCCAGAGGAUUUUUCAAUUAACCUCUAAGAAGCUGAAAAUAGGAAAACCUGGGUUCCUGAUCAAGACCAUCCCCAAGCCCCCAAAAACAACCAAGACCAACAAACCCUUCUUGAAGACCUGCAAAGUUCUGAAAGCUUUCAAAGCACUACUCAAGAUAUGAAGGCAAUGCAUACAAUUGUACAUUUGGUACAAUUAUUCUCAGGACACGGGGUGAGGCAGAGUACAAUAAAUAAAUCCAGAUGCCUUAUUCCAUCAAACAACUGCAAGAAGUCUUCUUUAAAAUCAACCAAGCUAAAUUGGACACGUGUUUUAUGUCAUUUAUAUGGUAGGUCUCAUUAGAUAUCAUCCAACUCUUUAAAAAUGCCUUUGUAUGCAGAUUUCUGCUCUGUUGCCAUUAGGUAAGAUACAACUCCAUGGGGCUUACCUGCCAAGACCUCCAUGGAAGCCACAUAUCCCAUCAAUUACCAAAGCCAAAUGGUAGGCUUAUGAUGAAGUCUAUUUUCUAGGUCUCCAGGGCUAUUUUGGCGACGGGAAAACCCCACGCGAAGGUCGAUUUGUCCUCACUUUGCAACCCAGACUCUCUUUAGGGACCUGAGCUGUCCAAGAAACCAAAACAUCUGGACAUUUUCAAAGCCGUAGAUGGUUCACUUGAAUGCUUUGAGCAGAAGCACGAGUAGGACAAGAGUGGACGAAUAGAUGUCCAUUCAGCGAGACACGCAAAUUAGCCUACAAAGAAAGGGAAAUGCAGAACAAAUGCUCUUUCUCGUUAGGGUUGCGGGUGUAAACUUAUCUUGGAGGAUUAUAUACGGGUAAAUUAACGUAUUUAAAUAUUUCACUCAAGUACGAGAAGAACGAGAACAACAUUUCCCCAACACAUUAGAUUUGUGCAGGGUAAAUACUCAUGAUAAUGGCCAAUUUAUUUGAUUAAAACCAGAUGUAUAAGCCUACUUUGGGGAAAUUAAUGACUAAAUAUAUAUCCUAUAGGGAAAUAAGAAGGAGAGCCAACAAUAUAAGUGAAAUUCAACAACGUGCUUUAGUAACGAUGGUGUAACGGCUGUCGUUGGUGGAAGAAGGUGAGGACCCAGGUGCAGCGUGGUAAGUGUUCAUCUUUUUAUUUUGAACUGAACACUGAAUUAUAAAACAACAAAGAGAAUGAACGAAACCGAAACAGUUCUGUCUGGUGCAGACACAAAAAACAGAAAACAACUACCCACAAAACAUAGGUAGCCUGUUUUCCCACUAAGUAUGGUUCUCAAUCAGAGACAAUGAUCGACAGCUGCCUCUGAUUGGGAACCAUACCAGGCCAAACAUAGAAAUACAAAACCUAGAACAAAAACAAAGAAUGCCCACUCCAACUCACACCCCGACCACACUAAAACAGAGACAUAAAAAAGGAACUUAGGUCAGGACGUGACAGACGGAGACUCACUGAGUCUGCUUCGUCACUCAGUAUAAUAAGUGUUUGACUUAAAUCCAUAAAGGCAUCCAUUGGGUUUAACAUAAAAACUGAAGUUAAUUGCCUGUUAAAGAAGGCAGGUUUAAAUACAGAUGCUCUGGUGUCUGGUCCCUAACGUAUUGUUAGGCCUAUACAUUUGAUUCCUAUCUGAUGUGUGUUCAUACCACUCAAGAUUUUAUGUUGAGCACUUGUAGGCUUAUGUUACUGAGUUGGUUGUUGGAAAUACAUGUGUAUGCAGUUAAGAAUAAACAUAUUUAGACCUACCUGUUAUUCAUUUGCAUGGGAGGGUUGUGUAUAGGCGAUGACAAUUUCUUUAAAAAUAAAUAAUUGUAUUUUUUUAAUGAAUUGAGUGUUUCCAAACUAAAACUAACUAACUAAACUAAAUUAAAUUUGGGAUGUGGGAUUAGGCUACUGUCUAAGAUCAACUGUUGAAGAGCUAAACCAAAAUAUCUUAGAUAGGCUACUUUAUAUUCUGUAAGCCUAUUCCCUGAUGUUUUAGAAAUUAGGCUAGUGUUAUGAUUCUCUUAUGGUUUUGAAUAUGAGUAAAUGACUAAAUAAUAAAGUUUUUUAGACCCUAAACUUUGCCUUUAUUUGUUAUUUUUGUAAUCAGAACCUUCAGCUGCUGGCUAAAGAAUUGUGAUAAUUAGGCCUAUGAUACAAUAGUUGGUGGGUCAGCUUGUCAAUCAAGAGCCUAACAUUCCUUGACAAUGGGUUUAAUUUUAUCAUCAGUGUCAACACAGUUUGAGAUAAUUUUGACCCGUAGGCCUUCCACCCAUUUCAAUGCGGAAAUGCGCUUUGCUGGAAGAAAAAACCCAUGUCGGACCUCGCAACAGUAACCAAGGGGUGCGGCUUGACAAUGUCUCUAUUAUGAUGUCACAAAGCAUGCAGUUAAAAAAUAGAGUCUUGUGUGUUUUGGUUCAGUCAUCGAUAUGGAUGUGUAUCAAGAAGUAGGUGUACCGGAGUUUGGUGCUCCUUGGCCCGCCAUGACGAUACCCGAACAAGGAGUGAUUGGCCAAUUUACCAUUUUCUGUCAUGUAUUGUCAUGUUGUGUCUUUCUGUCCUUUCCUUUCACCCUGUCUCCCUCUGCUGGUCGUAUUAGGUUACCUUUUCUCCCCCGCUUUCCCCCAGCUGUUCCUUGUCUCCUCUGACUACCUCAUCCACCCCUUUUCCCACCUGUUCCCUUUUUCCCUCUGAUUAGGUCCCUAUAUCUCUCUCUGUUUCUGCUCCUGUCUUUGUCGGAUUCUUGUUUGUUGUGUUUCAUGCCUGAACCAGACUAUCGUCAUGUUUGCUGUAACCUUGUCCUGUCCUGUCGGAAUCUGCCGGUCUAUCUGAGCCUACCUAUGUUUGGUUAUUAAAGAAGCUCUGUUUAAGUUAAUUCGCUUUUGGGUCCUCAUUCACUCACCUUA